CACGUAGGGUGCGAGCGUUGUCCGGAAUUAUUUGGCGUAAAGAGCUCGUAGGCGGUGUGUCGCGUCGGCCGUGAAAACUUGGGGCUUAACUCUGAGCUUGCGGUCGAUACGGGCAUCACUGGAGUUCGGCAGGGGAGACUGGAAUUCCUGGUGUAGCGGUGAAAUGCGCAGAUAUCAGGAGGAACACCGGUGGCGAAGGCGGGUCUCUGGGCCGAUAUUGACGCUGAGGAGCGAAAGCGUGGGGAGCGAACAGG
This 254-nucleotide ribosomal RNA is filed under the name uncultured bacterium. Its description in RNAcentral is "partial 16S ribosomal RNA". It matches the Rfam family "Bacterial small subunit ribosomal RNA", at positions 524 to 776 of the family's 1533-position model. The record is from RNAcentral.